Phascolarctos cinereus (koala) is the source of this 1077-nucleotide long non-coding RNA. The record is from Ensembl. NCBI's taxonomy places the organism in Eukaryota, Metazoa, Chordata, Mammalia, Diprotodontia, Phascolarctidae.
AUGAGGCUCGGAGGAGACCAGGCCAUAGCGAACCCUGGGCCGUCACAAUCCGCACAAGGGCCCAGGCGAGAAUCGCCUCAUCCAGCGGCCCACGCUCCCGUGCCUGCUACCACCAACCUGCCACCGGUACCCAGACGCGGGACUGGGCAGGGCCGAGAGCGAGGAUCAAGGAUAAAGGGAGUAGCCAGCGGGGAUGCUCUACCAAAAAGGGGCGUGUGCCGCGGGCCAGCGCUUGGCUCCCAGGGCCCAGGCCCCGACCGAGGAGAUGGACCAAGCGACCGCCCCGGGGGAGGGGGCAGGCAGGAUCCCCGCCGUGCCCGCGGGUCCCGGAGGGGCUGCCAUGGGGAGGGGGGGCGUGGACGGAGGACAAAGCCGGAGGCCGCGCCGGCAGGCAGGCAAGCAAGCAGCCCGCCCGCUGGCACGCACGCACGCACGCCCUCCCUUGCGGGGCCGGGCCGGGCCCGUGAGAGGAGGCAGAGUAUGGGGCCAGCACGCUCAUGCCGCCGACACCGGCGCGAGGCUCCGCCGGGCACGGGGCUGGGGGGCGUGAGGAUGAAGGGAACAUGCGCGCGCACCGGGGCCUCACCGCCGCCAUUUUGUUUCCUCGGCACAAUGGGGGAGAGUAACGGCCGAGCGCGGGAGCGAGGCCGGGGAUGGGGGAGGGGCCCGGCAGCGAGGGGCGGGCGGGGACUAGGGCCGGCUCCGGGGCCCAGGGGCAGCGGCCGCGCCGCUCCCCCGGGGGCGCCGCACAGCGCGUCAAGGACCCCGGCCCCCUGCCUCACGCCCGCGGGGGACCGGGCCCGGGGGAGGCCGCUGGGCCGCCGUGCGCAGGGGGGAGGGGGAAGGAGGAGAGCCCCGUCGGGGCCCGCCCUUACCUUGUCGGCACCCCCUCGCCAGCAGCAGCAGCCGCCGCCGCCGCUGCCUCCUCCAGCGACAGCCCCCGGGUCCCCCAACCACGCGGUGCGCUGGGCUGCUCUGUCCGACUGCAAUGGCGAGAGGAGGAGGAGGAGCCGGGACUGGGGGCGAGCGGGCGGGCAGGCGGGCGGGAGCGCGCGCCGGAAAGAUGGGAGCACGUGA